AUGAGAACACCUCCUCCUCUAAUGUGAAUAUUGAAGAUGGAGAACCUCGUGAAAACCCUAACAAAACAACCAUAUCAUUUUUCAAAUCCAAAAACUCCCAUCUUUUCCAUCGUGAAUCCAAAACUACAGAAACUCCAGUCAAUCAUACACAAUCCCUAAUCGAAGUGAUGAAAAUGAUGAGUGUACCUGAAGCAGGCCCCAAACAAAAAAAUAGUUUACUCCACCAAGACGAUUCAUUUCAGUCCACCAAGCUAAGAAGUUUAGUCCACCAUUUCACAUCCGUCCGAGUAAUGAGUAAACUAAGAAGAAGAACAGAGAAAAAGAGGGAGGGAGAUGAAAUUGAGUUCAGUUAUUGAUCACAACAUUGAUGUUUGUGUGCGCCACUGGGAUUGAGUACACCUGUAGAUGAGCGUCAUACUAGCUUACGAUGCAUGGUCAGGCGAGGGAAAGGCAAAUGGUGUCACAUAUGAGUAACUACUUACGCAGUUUAUGUCACCUGGAGAUUGAAUGAUUG
Papaver somniferum (opium poppy) is the source of this 514-nucleotide long non-coding RNA. RefSeq lists it as uncharacterized. The transcript is spliced from 3 exons. NCBI's taxonomy places the organism in Eukaryota, Viridiplantae, Streptophyta, Magnoliopsida, Ranunculales, Papaveraceae. The record is from RefSeq and is a predicted model, not a curated record.